RNAcentral lists this ribosomal RNA (433 nucleotides) under uncultured bacterium. RNAcentral's name for it is "partial 16S ribosomal RNA". It matches the Rfam family "Bacterial small subunit ribosomal RNA", at positions 29 to 507 of the family's 1533-position model. The record is from RNAcentral.
AACGAACGCUGGCGGCAUGCCUAACACAUGCAAGUCGAACGAGACCUUCGGGUCUAGUGGCGCACGGGUGCGUAACGCGUAGGAACCUGCCCUUAGGUUCGGAAUAACUCCCCGAAAGGGGUGCUAAUACCGGAUAAUGUCUUCGGACCAAAGAUUUAUCGCCUUUGGAUGGGCCCGCGUUGGAUUAGCUGGUUGGUAGGGUAAAAGCCUACCAAGGCGACGAUCCAUAGCUGGUCUGAGAGGAUGAUCAGCCACACUGGGACUGAGACACGGCCCAGACUCCUACGGGAGGCAGCAGUGGGGAAUAUUGGACAAUGGGCGAAAGCCUGAUCCAGCAAUGCCGCGUGAGUGAUGAAGGCCUUAGGGUUGUAAAGCUCUUUUACCCGGGAUGAUAAUGACAGUACCGGGAGAAUAAGCUCCGGCUAACUCCGUG